ACAAUCAUUAAUCAAAGAUACUGUGUUUUUUAAAUCUCAAGAUAUUUAACAUCAGACACAGUUCAAUCAAUAUCUUUUAUUAUUUGAAAAUAAAUUCCCUCAAUAAUCACUACAUUCUCUAAAUAAUCUAGUGUAACAGAUAUGUCACUGAUUAAACAGAUGUUAUCAUUGUUGCAGAUUAAAUCAUUUAUAUUAUCUGCACAGUUUGUAUAAUUCAUUUCAACAGCACUAUCUACAGACUUGAUACUAUUCUGAUAACAGUUUAUAAAUCAAUUAAGAAAAGAAAGAGAAAGAAGAUUAGAGAAAGAGAUUAUAUAAGAAAGUUCUUAUAAAUAGAGAAAUCAGAACAGAAGAAAUAUCAGAGAUUGUACUCUGAAGAAAUAUAAAAUAAAAGAAUUAUUAGAAUAUUAAAAUAUAUAUAAUUAUAAAAUGAA
Molecule: small RNA, 434 nt
Filed under: Histoplasma capsulatum
Lineage: Eukaryota; Fungi; Ascomycota; Eurotiomycetes; Onygenales; Ajellomycetaceae
Also listed under: 1 other name
Description: hypothetical RNA
Source: RNAcentral